ACUCCUACGGGAGGCAGCAGUAGGGAAUCUUGGACAAUGGGCGAAAGCCUGAUCCAGCCAUGCCGCGUGUGUGAUGAAGGCCUUAGGGUUGUAAAGCACUUUCGCCAGGGAAGAUAAUGACGGUACCUGGAUAAGAAGCCCCGGCUAACUUCGUGCCAGCAGCCGCGGUAAUACGAAGGGGGCUAGCGUUGUUCGGAAUUACUGGGCGUAAAGCGCACGUAGGCGGCAUUCCAAGUUGGAGGUGAAAUCCCCGGGCUUAACCUGGGAACUGCCUCCAAAACUGGGAAGCUCGAGUCCGAGAGAGGUGAGUGGAAUUUCCAGUGUAGAGGUGAAAUUCGUAGAUAUUGGAAAGAACACCAGUGGCGAAGGCGGCUCACUGGCUCGGUACUGACGCUGAGGAGCGACAGCGUGGGGAGCAAACAGGAUUAGAUACCCUGGUAGUCCACGCCGUAAACUAUGGGUGCUAGUUGUCGGGCAGCUUGCUGUUCGGUGACGCAGCUAACGCAUUAAGCACCCCGCCUGGGGAGUACGGUCGCAAGAUUAAAACUCAAAGGAAAUUGACGGGG
RNAcentral lists this ribosomal RNA (566 nucleotides) under uncultured bacterium. Its description in RNAcentral is "bacterial SSU rRNA". It matches the Rfam family "Bacterial small subunit ribosomal RNA", at positions 335 to 918 of the family's 1533-position model. The record is from RNAcentral.